Molecule: ribosomal RNA, 500 nt
Filed under: uncultured bacterium
Lineage: Bacteria
Description: partial 16S ribosomal RNA
Rfam family: Bacterial small subunit ribosomal RNA
Source: RNAcentral
AUUGAACGCUGGCGGAAUGCUUUACACAUGCAAGUCGAACGGCAGCACGGACUUCGGUCUGGUGGCGAGUGGCGAACGGGUGAGUAAUACAUCGGAACGUGCCCAGCCGUGGGGGAUAACGUAGCGAACGCUACGCUAAUACCGCAUACGAGCUAAGGAUGAAAGCGGGGGAUCGCCAGACCUCGCGCGAGUGGAUGGGCCGAUGGCAGAUUAGGUAGUUGGUAGGGUAAAGGCCUACCAGGCCGACGAUCUGUAGCUGGUCUGAGAGGAUGAUCAGCCACACUGGGACUGAGACACGGCCCAGACUCCUACGGGAGGCAGCAGUGGGGAAUUUUGGACAAUGGGCGCAAGCCUGAUCCAGCCAUUCCGCGUGCAGGAUGAAGGCCUUCGGGUUGUAAACUGCUUUUGUACAGAACGAAAAGGCUCUGGUUAAUACCCGGGGCUCAUGACGGUACUGUAAGAAUAAGCACCGGCUAACUACGUGCCAGCCGCCGCGGUAA